AUUUUAUUUGUCAUUAUAAUCACAUAACAUUGUACAUUGUAGGCCUAUGUCUUCAUUACAUUUACAUUUUGCAAGACCAAAUGAACUGAGAAGACAUCAUAGUCGAUCACAUUCUAUUAUAAAUACCUUUUGAAGUUUAGUACAUUUCAUGAUGAUUGUGCAUAAUUUAUAAGACAUACAACAGGUGGAGUGGAUGGAUUGAUUUACGUUUUCUUUAAUCGCUUUGGUGCUAUUUUCAUAAGCAUGUGGUGAAUUUUCCAAACUUAAGUACAAGACUCUAAAUUGACAACACUUGUAAUACCCCCUAUCUUAUGUUCAGAACCUUUGAUUGUGCAUUCAUUGGGGUCUUUCGCCCCUGAGUCAUUCAUGCAAAAUCUAAGUUCUAUGAAAUACUAAUACUUGCUUAGUCAGCAAUACCUCAGAUAAUGUUCACUAUUUAGUCAUUUUAACUACUAUUAAAUCCAUUAGCAAAUAAUACAAGAUACAAAUGUCAAAACAGUUAUUUUAAAGGUGAUGAAUAGAGUGAAAUGGUAAAUAUGAUUUUCCAUGCAGUUUGACUAUAACUUGACAUGUAACAUUUUUAAAUGAUUUGUAUUCAAUGGCAGGUUGUGAGCAUGUUGAGAAAUAUGUCAGUCUUACAGUUUCAUUACAUACAUACACUACAUGACCAAAGGUAUGUGGACACCUGCUCAUCAAACAUCUCAUUGCAAAAGCAUGUGCAUUAAUAUGAAGUUGGUACCCACUUUGCUGCUAUAACAGCCUCCACUAGUGAGGUCUGGCACUGAUGUUGGGCGAUUAGGCCUGGCUCGCAGUCAGCGUUCCAAUUCAUCCAAAAGAUGUUCGAUGGGGUUGAGGUCAGGGCUCUGUGCAGUUCAGUGAAGUUCUUCCACACCAAUCUCAACAAACCAUUUCUGUAUGGAUCUCGCUUUGUGCACAGGGGCAUUGUCAUGCUAAAAGAGGAAAGGGCCUUCCCCAAACUGUUGCUACAAAGUUGGAAGCACAGAAUGGUCUAGAAUGACAUUGUAUGCUGUAGCGCUAAGAUUUCCCUUCACUGGAACUAAGGGGCCUAGCCCGAACCAUGAAAAACAGCCCCAGACCAUUAUUCCUCCUCCACCAAACUUUACAGUUGGCACUAUGCAUUGGAGCAGGUAGAGUUCUCCUGGCAUCCGCCAAACCCAGAUUAGUCCGUCGGACUGUCAGAUGGGGAAGCGUGAUUCAUCACUCCAAAGAACGCUUUUCCACUGCUCCAGAGUCCAAUGGCGGCGAGCUUUACACCACUCCAGCCGUCGCUUGGCAUUGCGCAUGGUGAUCUUAGGCUUGUGUGUGGCUGCUUAGCCAUGGAAACCCUUUUCAUGAAGCUCCCGACAAACAGUUAUUGUGCUGACGGUGCUUCAAGAGGCAGUUUGGAAAUUGGUAGUGAGUGUUGCAAACAAGGACAGACGAUUUCUAAGCACUACGCGCUUCAGCACUUGCUGGUCCCAUUCUGUGAGCUUGAGGCCUACCACUUCGUGGCUGAGCCGUUGUUGCUCCUAGACGUUUCCUCUUUACAACAACAGCACUUACAAUUGACAGGAUUCAGCUCUAGCAGGACAGAAAUUUAACGAACUGACUUGGUGGAAAGGUGGCAUCCUAUGGUGGUGCCAUGUUGAAAGUCACUAAGCUCUUCAGUAAGGCUAUUCUACUGCCAUUGUUUGUCUAUGGAGAUUUCAUGGCUGUGUGCCUGAUGUAAUACACCUGGCAGCAUAGGGUGUGGCUGAAAUGUCCGAAUCCACUAAUUUGAAGGGGUGUCCACAUACUUUUGUAUAGAUAAUGUACGUAGGACAAAUCAUCAGAAAUAGGGAUAUUGUAAAGCAGUUGGCUGUUGUAAAAACAUAGCACUGCCCCAUGCAACAUUGCACAAGAUCACCUUUUCUACGGGACUUGUCAACUGAUACAGUAUCACCUCUCUCUCUGCUUGAAAUUCAUCAGCUUACAGUGUCUCAAUGAAAUUCAGAUAAUGAGUGGAAUCUAUUGUUAUAUACAACCUAGACCUAUGUAUUUCAGCAGUGCAUUGUACACAGCAGUAUAAUUCCAAAUGGUAGCACAUACACUACCGUUCAAAAGUUUGGGGUCACUUAGAAAUGUCCUUGUUUUUGAAAGAAAAGCAAAUUUUUUGUCCAUUAAAAUAACAUCAAAUUGAUCAGAAAUACAGUGUAGACAUUGUUAAUGUUGUAAAUUACUAUUGUAGUUGGAAUAUCUACGUAGGCGAACCAGAGGCCCAUUAUCAGCCACCAUCAUUCCUGUGUUCCAACGGCACGUUGUGUUAGCUAAUCCAAGUUUAUCAUUUUAAAAGGCUAAUUGGUCAUUAGAAAACCCUUUUGCAAUAAUGGUAUUACAGCUGAAAACUGUUGUACUGAUUAAAGAAGCAAUAAAACUGUCCUUCUUUAGACUAGUUGAGUAUCUGGAGCAUCAGCCUUUGCGGGUUCGAUUACAGGCUCAAAAGUGAAGAGUGAAGAGACUGGUGUUUUGUGGGGACUAUUUUAUGAAGCUGCCAGUCGAGGACUUGUGAGGCAUCUGCUUGUCAAACUAGGCACUCUAAUGUACUUGCCCUCUUGCUCAGUUGUGCACCAGGGCCUCCCACUCGUCUUUCUAUUCUGGUUAGGGCCAGUUUGCGCUGUUCUGUGAACGGAGUAGUACACAGCAUGGUACAGGAUCUUCAGUUUCUUGGCAAUUUCUCCCAUGGAAUAGCCUUCAUUUCUCAGAACAAGAAUAGACUGACGGAUUUCAGAAGAAAGUUAUUUGUUUCUGGCCAUUUUGAGCCUGUAAUCGAACCUACAAAUGCUGAUGCUCCAGAUACUCAACUAGUCUAAAGAAGGACCGUUUUGUUUAUUGCUUCUUUAAACAGAACAACAGUUUUCAGCUGUGCUAACAUAGUUGCAAAAGGGUUUUCUAAUGAUCAAAUAGCCCUUUAAAAUUAUAAACCUGGAUUAGCUAACACAAGUGACCCCAAACUUUUGAACGGUGGUGUACAUGUAGACUGACUCUUUUCGAUUUUGUCCUAUUGAAGCACACUGGCUGAUGGGAAAAAAUGAUGAUGUAGUAUUUACAGCCAUAUCCAUAUAUGAUUUGUUUUACCUUCCACCAUAAAUUGAUGUCAAAUUGAUACAUUUUGUAUAUAGUUUUUCAGUGUUCAGCAGUUAUCAAACUACAUACGUUAACUAGGCACUACAUAAUUGUGGUUCAGUAUUUAUCAGUUUUGAGCAGUAUGAUUAAGUGAAUUGUGUUGUUAACAAAUGACAAGAAAAUCAUAUCAACAGCAAAGUGAAUAUUGCAUUUUGAAAAACAGUUACUUAGAUUGAACAUGUAUACAAAUUGAAAGAGUGCUUUGGUGCAGUGAACUAGUGACUUUGAAUUUGUUUGUUGUACUCAGUCAAUGGGAAAUGUGCUUAGAGUUUUGAAACAUGAUUUUUGUGAUUAGAGUUGUGAAAAUGUACCACAUACUUGUGAAAAUUGCACCCAAGUCAUUGGGAGAAAAAAAACUGAAAUACAGUGUGUGAUAAAGUUAUCUUGAUAGCCAUUCAAUCAGAUUAAUUCUCUCACAAUACCUCUUAAUAUAAAUGUACAUACACUUUAGAGACCGAUCAUUACAACUGAAAAAAAUACCUUAAUGCAGGACACACAAUGAUUAAUUAUUUGAAUUAGAAACAUGCUUUUGUGUGUAAGCACCCCUGAAAAACCAUAAUCAAAAAAAGAAAUUUAAAAAAAGUAUAUAUAUGUUUCUCACAAAAGUAGUGUGUAUUAGCUGACCGAUAUCCACCUCAUUUUGAAAACUUUUAAAACACAGAAACCAAAUGCCGAAACUAUGGAUACAACUUCCUCCAUGCUCAUGCAUGAUCACAAUUCAUAUGUGCACCACUAGAAAUCCCUGCAUUUAAUAGUAGGUUUCUGUUAGCUGAUACAUAAUGACAAAAUACACCAUAUUACUGUCCGGCUAAUGUGCCUGGACUUUUUAGGCUAAACUGCCUUGGAAAAAAGCAUAACUGAUCCAGAUGGUUGCCCAAUCAGGCAACCUAGAUGCGCUUAUUUCAAAAUGAAUAUGCAUUCUAAAUGCCAGGUUUUGAGUGGUUAUUCAAAUGACAGGCUAUUCACUGCCGUUUACAGCCUAGACUAGAGUUUGUACUCACUUGAAAACAAUAACAUUCUUCAUUACAUUGUGUUGUUGUAGCCUAUACAGGAUACAUUGCUUGUCCCUACAAAACUGAAACAAUAGGAUAUAUUUUCGAGCAUCGUACCUGGGUACUGGGAGGGAGCGCGCACAUAUUGUAAACUACCUAGGCUUUAUUUUAAUGAUACACUUUUUCCCCCUUUGACUGGAUAUAUGCACUGCAGUAUUAAGCCUAACAUUGGUCUUAUGAAUUAUGGUCUAAUAUGCACACGCUUCUAACUUAAGCUAUAUGGUACAUGUCGAGCCUGUCUGUCUUCAUUGUUCUGUUGCGAAAUUAUGCAUCUGGCCUCUCCGCUGUCACGGCUAUUCAUUUUAAAUGUUGUGGAGUCCCAGUAAAAGCCAAAAGCUUGUUGGACACUUGUUUAAACGUAUUUUCAUUAGCCUACUAACAGCCCAUUGGAGUUUAGAUGCAUGCUUGCUCUUGCUUGCUGAAUGUAAAAUAUGCUACAGCAUUAACGGGCGGGGAGAUGGAAAAGAGCAGUCCAUAUUUAUAGUAGGCUACUCCUAUCUUAACACCGGGCUACAUCCUGACAAAAUAGGUCUACACCACAUGAGUGGCCUGCUAAUGUAUCUUUCUGGACCUUAUACAC
This is a long non-coding RNA of Oncorhynchus tshawytscha (Chinook salmon), 4794 nucleotides long. NCBI's taxonomy places the organism in Eukaryota, Metazoa, Chordata, Actinopteri, Salmoniformes, Salmonidae. The record is from Ensembl.